ACCACCCACAGCUAUGGCUGGGGUAGGCGCUGCUUUCCGCCGCCUAGGUGCCUUGUCCGGAGCUGGGGCCUUGAGUUUGGCCACCUACAGGACACACGGCGCACAGUUUCCGGAUGCCUACGGGAAGGAGCUCUUUGACAAGGCCAACAAACACCACUUUUUGCACAGCCUGGCCCUGUUAGGGGUACCCUAUUUGCAGAAAACCUGUCUGGGCAGGGUUGCUGCUAGCUUCUGGAACUACCUUAUUCUGCACCAGCUUUUACUACCAGGCUCUGAGUGGAGACACUAGCAUCUAGACUCUGGGGCCUGUUGGAGGGAGGCUGCUGAUCUUGGGCUGGCUUGCCUUGACUUUUUAAGGUCUCUUGUUUAAGUGCCCAGUCCUGGCUUUUCUGGGUAA
This 397-nucleotide long non-coding RNA is filed under the name Rattus norvegicus (Norway rat). RNAcentral describes it as "long non-coding RNA NONRATT015877". The record is from RNAcentral. Lineage: Eukaryota; Metazoa; Chordata; Mammalia; Rodentia; Muridae.